GAUGAACGCUAGCGAUAGGCUUAACACAUGCAAGUCGAGGGGCAGCAUGAUCUUAGCUUGCUAAGGUCGAUGGCGACCGGCGCACGGGUGCGUAACGCGUAUGCAACUUGCCUUACAGAGAGGGAUAACCCGUUGAAAGACGGACUAAAACCGCAUACACUUGUAUUAUUGCAUGAUAUUACAAGGAAAUAUUUAUAGCUGUAAGAUAGGCAUGCGUCCCAUUAGCUGGUUGGUGAGGUAACGGCUCACCAAGGCGACGAUGGGUAGGGGAACUGAGAGGUUUAUCCCCCACACUGGUACUGAGACACGGACCAGACUCCUACGGGAGGCAGCAGUGAGGAAUAUUGGUCAAUGGGCGAGAGCCUGAACCAGCCAAGUCGCGUGAAGGAAGACAGUCCUAAGGAUUGUAAACUUCUUUUAUACGGGAAUAACGGGCGAUACGAGUAUUGCAUUGA
This 455-nucleotide ribosomal RNA is filed under the name Porphyromonas gingivalis. Its description in RNAcentral is "bacterial SSU rRNA". It matches the Rfam family "Bacterial small subunit ribosomal RNA", at positions 28 to 472 of the family's 1533-position model. The record is from RNAcentral. Lineage: Bacteria; Pseudomonadati; Bacteroidota; Bacteroidia; Bacteroidales; Porphyromonadaceae.